GAUGAAGAACGCAGCGAAAUGCGAUAAGUAAUGUGAAUUGCAGAAUUCAGUGAAUCAUCGAAUCUUUGAACGCACCUUGCGCUCCUUGGUAUUCCGAGGAGCAUGCCUGUUUGAGUGUCAUUAAAUUCUCAAUCCUCUCUGGGUUUUUUCUCAGUUCGGAUUGGAUAAUGGGGGCUUUGCUGGCUUGAAUAAGGUCAGCUCUCCUAAAAUAUAUUAGCAAGACUCUUGUUGCAGCCUUCUAUUAUGGUGUGAUAAUUAUCUACAUCAUAGAUUGCAUGCAGUAAAAAAAUGUCAGGCUUCUAACAGUCCAUUGACUUGGACAAACUAAUUGACAAAUUUGACCUCAAAUCAGGUAGGACUACCCGCUGAACUUAAGCAUAUCAAUAAGCGGAGGA
Molecule: unclassified non-coding RNA, 395 nt
Filed under: soil metagenome
Description: partial contains 5.8S ribosomal RNA, internal transcribed spacer 2, and large subunit ribosomal RNA
Rfam family: 5.8S ribosomal RNA (bases 1-120)
Source: RNAcentral